AAGAAUACAGGCUUCGCGGCCGCUAUUCUCACCCUUUGCAUACAGAAACUUGUUGCUUUGGCAGGCCUCCGGCGCACGCCGGGCUGCGCCUGCCAGAGGAUUUAAACCCUAGAAUUAUUGCUGUCUGAGUACUAUCUAAUAGUUA
RNAcentral lists this unclassified non-coding RNA (145 nucleotides) under uncultured Lophodermium. RNAcentral's name for it is "sequence contains ITS1". Lineage: Eukaryota; Fungi; Ascomycota; Leotiomycetes; Rhytismatales; Rhytismataceae. The record is from RNAcentral.